AACACAUUUUUUUCCUGAAAGUGUUUUUGAAGUUAAGCACUACUAAACAAGCCAACUCACCGCGUUUCAAAUAAAUAUCUAAGCUCAAACCCUAUUCCACCCCGCAGUCGCCGAUAUUCGUGAUAAUGUGCUCUUUUCAGUAGUUGGAAGAAAUUUGAUAAGAAACAGUUUGGCAGACUUGAAGCAUUCCGUUACUUUACGAACUGUUUAAACGGAAAGCUCUGUUGUGCUGCCCUGCUGUUCCGAAGACGGUGGAAGGAAGAUUACUAAUGGAAAACAGAUGCAGUGUUGUCUUGAACUUGUUUGGGCUUUGUUUUGUUGAUGUAAAACUUUAGAACAAAAAGUGAAUUUGCUUUUUUCAACUUUCUAUUGGUUAACUUAAGCUAUGAGUACUAUGCUGGAACUGCAAUUUCCACCUUUGGCAAGAUUUAGUGUUCUUUUAUUUAAUUAAUCCCCUCAAAUCAUGUCAAUAACAAUUCUAUGGCUGUUGGCAAGAAUUUGGAAUUUGUGAAAGAUAA
Molecule: long non-coding RNA, 518 nt
Organism: Gossypium arboreum
Lineage: Eukaryota; Viridiplantae; Streptophyta; Magnoliopsida; Malvales; Malvaceae
Exons: 2
Source: RefSeq, a predicted model, not a curated record